GGAACUGUGUGUCUUUAUGUUGAUUUUCUCGCAUUAAGUAUUGAUGGAGCCCACUACGUGCCAAGUGUCCCAGAAGCCGCUGUUCCUCUCGUGCCUUCCCAGGUUUCACGGAUUCAAUGCAAAGCCGUCGGGGUGAAACAAACCUGAGGCCACGGGGUAAGGGACUGGCCUGGGAGCUUCGUGUGGCCACCUGGGGCUGUGGGAACCAGGACACUGAUAACCACGGCCGUCAUAGCAGCAACAGUGACUACAGCUGAGAGAAGAAGACAGAGAAGAAAGUUGUCCUCCAGGACCAAGGCUCAACUCCCAAUUCUAGGAGAGGAUUCUGGCCCCCAACCAGUUUAGCAUUUCCUGUCACAUCUUGCCUGGCGCAUCUGUCUGGCUGUGACAUGGUUCUUUGCACCCCAUGCUGCCCCCAACACAGCAGUGUAGCUUUACCAUACCUCUCUCCAUGCUCACCAUGUCCAUGCUAAGCCGGGGACUAGGCAUCUUAAGACUCUGAAUCCAAGGGUAACCUUUAGAUGGAGUUACCCAACUCUGGCUACUCCAAGAAGAGAAUCUGUGGGGCCUCUUGCAAAGGACUUCAUUAAAGUCUUUUAUU
This is a long non-coding RNA of Diceros bicornis minor, 601 nucleotides long. RefSeq lists it as uncharacterized. The transcript has 3 exons. Lineage: Eukaryota; Metazoa; Chordata; Mammalia; Perissodactyla; Rhinocerotidae. The record is from RefSeq and is a predicted model, not a curated record.